This is a long non-coding RNA of Mugil cephalus (flathead mullet), 176 nucleotides long. RefSeq lists it as uncharacterized. The transcript has 4 exons. Lineage: Eukaryota; Metazoa; Chordata; Actinopteri; Mugiliformes; Mugilidae. The record is from RefSeq and is a predicted model, not a curated record.
CACUCAGAGGUCCUGAAAACACUGGAGAUGUUGGACGGGCCGGUGGCUCCACAAAUGUCAAAUCUCAGACUGAGCUCAGAGAUGUUGGACAGAGGAGAAAACGAGGUGAUCCAGGGAAGAGCUCCGACUACUAGAAUGUGAAUCCAGACUCAUCUACAGGUCCAUAAAGAGAAGUG